UACGAAGGGGGCUAGCGUUGCUCGGAAUGACUGGGCGUACAGGGCGCGUAGGCGGACAGUACAGUCAGAUGUGAAAUUCCCGGGCUCAACCUGGGAAUUGCAUUUGAGACUGCGUAGCUAGGGUGCGGAAGAGGGAAGCGGAAUUUCCGGUGUAGCGGUGAAAUGCGUAGAUAUCGGAAGGAACACCAGUGGCGAAAGCGGCUUCCUGGUCCAGCACCGACGUUCAGGCACGAAAGCGUGGGGAGCAAACAGG
RNAcentral lists this ribosomal RNA (253 nucleotides) under uncultured bacterium. Its description in RNAcentral is "partial 16S ribosomal RNA". It matches the Rfam family "Bacterial small subunit ribosomal RNA", at positions 524 to 776 of the family's 1533-position model. The record is from RNAcentral.